AACGAACGCUGGCGGCAGGCCUCAAACAUGCAAGUCGAGCGCCCAGCAAUGGGAGCGGCGGACGGGUGAGUAUCGCGCGGGAAUGUACCUAGUGGUUCGGCACAACUCAUGGAAACGUGAGCUAAUCCCGGAUGAGCCCGUAAGGGGAAGGAUUCAUCGCCAUUAGCUCAGCCCGCGUCUGAUUAGGUAGUUGGUAGGGGAACGGGCUCACCAAGGCGACGAUCAGUAGCUGUUCUGAGAGGAAGAUCAGCCACACUGGGACUGCGACACGGGGGAGACGCGUACGGGAGGCAGCAGUUGGGAAUCUUGGACAAUGGGCGCAAGCCUGAUCCAGCCAUGCCGCGUGAGUGAUGAAGGCCUUGGGGUUGUAAAGCUCUUUUACCCGGGAAGAUAAUGACUGUACCGGGAGAAUAAGCUCCGGCUAACUUCGUGCCAGCCGCCGCCGUAA
This 448-nucleotide ribosomal RNA is filed under the name uncultured bacterium. Its description in RNAcentral is "partial 16S ribosomal RNA". It matches the Rfam family "Bacterial small subunit ribosomal RNA", at positions 29 to 523 of the family's 1533-position model. The record is from RNAcentral.